AAAUUGAAAAUAAAAGAUAAGCUUUUCUUUUUUUAGUCUGAAAGUUAAUGCCACUUUAAAAGAAACAUCUUUGAUAAUGAGCUUACAUUUAAAAAUGAAGAGUUGUAUGGUAUCUAGCACCAUUUCAGGAUUGUGGAGCAGAGAUAGGCAAACUAAUGGCUGCAGACCAAAUCUGACCACAUCAGCUUUGGUGAAUAAGUUUUUAAUUGGAAUGAAGCUAUUCAUUUGCUUAUA
Long non-coding RNA from Mandrillus leucophaeus (drill), 234 nucleotides. RefSeq lists it as uncharacterized. NCBI's taxonomy places the organism in Eukaryota, Metazoa, Chordata, Mammalia, Primates, Cercopithecidae. The transcript is spliced from 2 exons. The record is from RefSeq and is a predicted model, not a curated record.